AUUUGUAUUUCUAGCAAGUUCUCCAGCAAUGCUGACCCUCCUGGGGUAGGAACCAUUUUGAGAACUGCUGCCUUCAACGUAGAGAAAUGAACUGGAAGGAGCCUCAAUCCCGAAUGGCAGGACCACAGAGUCACCCACUGGCCUGGGAACACGAAUUCUGAAAUGGCAGUAAACACACAUAAAGGCAAGAUUUAAAACCAUUUUAACAGAAUGCUUGGAAUGAGGAAAAGCAGUACCGGUGAUCCAAAUGGAUUCCCAUUACCGAAGGCACCAGAGAAAAGCUACAAUUCUCAUCUUACCUGUUGCAUUUAGAAGGUCAAGCAGAAAUGACCGCUUGUCUGCAUCUUCCACCCACACUACUUUCUGUGUGAUGUUCUCAGAGGUAGAGCCAACUCUUCCUACAGCCAAGAAGAUAUAUUCAUCCAAGAAAUCACGAGCAAGCAUCUGAAAGAAAAAAACUUUCAUUACCUACUGAGACAAAUAAAUUCCUCAUUUAAUAAAGUGUGUAGCAUCAAACAAUACCUGUAUUUCCUUGGGGAAAGUAGCACUAAACAUCAUAGUGUGGCGCACGCCCUUUGGUGGCAUCGUAUCUUGUUCAACUAUUCUACGAAUCUGAGGUUCAAACCCCAUAUCCAACAUCCGAUCAGCUUCAUCCAACACCAAGUA
Myotis daubentonii (Daubenton's bat) is the source of this 666-nucleotide long non-coding RNA. RefSeq lists it as uncharacterized. The transcript is spliced from 2 exons. The record is from RefSeq and is a predicted model, not a curated record. Lineage: Eukaryota; Metazoa; Chordata; Mammalia; Chiroptera; Vespertilionidae.